UUCUAUAAUUGAAGAUUGAGGGGCUGGUGUUACAAUGGAGUUGGAAAUGCAGUGGGAGGGCAAUCCAAGCAUUAUACUUGAUAUUAAAACUCUGCUUGGUAUUGCACUACCAGUGCAGAAAAACUUGGAUUUUACGUUGAAAGUCGUUGGUGGUGACAUAUCAGCAAUCCCUGGAUUAUACGAUGCAAUUGAGGGGACAAUUCGGGAUGCAGUUGAAGAUUCUAUUACAUAGCCUAUGAGAAAAGUUGUAACUAUCUUGCCAGGAGAC
This is a non-coding RNA of Arachis ipaensis, 268 nucleotides long. The record is from RefSeq and is a predicted model, not a curated record. NCBI's taxonomy places the organism in Eukaryota, Viridiplantae, Streptophyta, Magnoliopsida, Fabales, Fabaceae.